RNAcentral lists this ribosomal RNA (376 nucleotides) under uncultured Fibrobacterales bacterium. RNAcentral's name for it is "bacterial SSU rRNA". It matches the Rfam family "Bacterial small subunit ribosomal RNA", at positions 521 to 896 of the family's 1533-position model. Lineage: Bacteria; Pseudomonadati; Fibrobacterota; Fibrobacteria; Fibrobacterales. The record is from RNAcentral.
UAAUACGUAGGAGGCGAACGUUAUUCGGAUUUACUGGGCGUAAAGGGAGCGCAGGCGGAAGAGUAAGUUAGAAGUGAAAUGUACAGGCUCAACCUGUAACCUGCUUUUAAUACUGCUUUUCUUGAGUAUGGGAGAGGAAGAUGGAAUUCCAGGUGUAGCGGUGGAAUGCGUAGAUAUCUGGAAGAACACCAGUUGCGAAGGCGGUCUUCUGGACCAAUACUGACGCUGAGGCUCGAAAGCUAGGGGAGCGAACAGGAUUAGAUACCCUGGUAGUCCUAGCCGUAAACGAUGGACACUAGAUGCUGGGAGUGUUGUGCUUUCAGUGUCGAAGUUAACGCAUUAAGUGUCCCGCCUGGGGAGUACGCUCGCAAGGGUG